UAAACUACGUAAACUCGUACGAUCACCGAAGUUAAGCAGCGUAGAGCCAGGUCAGUACUUAGAUGGGGGACCGCUUGGGAACACCUGGUACUGUAAGC
This is a non-coding RNA of Acanthosepion pharaonis, 98 nucleotides long. Lineage: Eukaryota; Metazoa; Mollusca; Cephalopoda; Sepiida; Sepiidae. The record is from the annotation of a GenBank genome assembly.